Molecule: ribosomal RNA, 510 nt
Filed under: uncultured bacterium
Lineage: Bacteria
Description: partial 16S ribosomal RNA
Rfam family: Bacterial small subunit ribosomal RNA
Source: RNAcentral
GACGAACGCUGGCGGCGUGCUUAACACAUGCAAGUCGAACGAAGAGCGAUGGAAGCUUGCUUCUAUCAAUCUUAGUGGCGAACGGGUGAGUAACGCGUAAUCAACCUGUCCUUCAGAGGGGGACAACAGUUGGAAACGACUGCUAAUACCGCAUACGAUCUAAACUCGGCAUCGAGGAUAGAUGAAAGGUGGCCUCUACAUGUAAGCUAUCACUGAAGGAGGGGAUUGCGUCUGAUUAGCUAGUUGGAGGGGUAACGGCCCACCAAGGCGAUGAUCAGUAGCCGGUCUGAGAGGAUGAACGGCCACAUUGGGACUGAGACACGGCCCAGACUCCUACUGGAGGCAGCAGUGGGGAAUCUUCCGCAAUGGACGAAAGUCUGACGGAGCAACGCCGCGUGAGUGAUGACGGCCUUCGGGUUGUAAAGCUCUGUUAAUCGGGACGAAAGGCCUUCAUGCGAAUAGUGAGAAGGAUUGACGGUACCGGAAUAGAAAGCCACGGCUAACUACGUG